AAACAAGACAGUCAUUAACCUAGGACAAAUGAAAAUAUGGGAGGGAAAGCAAGCGUAGUAAGGAUCACGUCUGUUCAGUCUGUCGCUGACACACCUCAAGAAAUCCCCGAUGUGAAAGAGGAGGUUGCAAGCACGUAUGUGAGAGUGUACUGAGAACAUGCUGUCUAUCAAAAUGUCGCCUUGUGUUGCGUCUCUGUCCCUCACGCCCUUUCCUUGAGGAAGAGCCUUGUCUGUAUGAGCUGUGCGAUCAAAGCCUGUGCUGGCAGCUCUCUGCACUGAAACCUGGGACUUCCUGGGGCUGAAAGCCUUGAAUUUUUGCCUCUGGAGCUGCAGAGCCAUUCUGUCCAACUGUAGCUGUUGCACGCCUGUCUGUGCACUGGGUGUACACCUUAAAACCACAUUAGUGGCGCAGACUCUUGCUCGGCUGGCGAACUGGUGUCAAUCUGCUUGCCAGACCCUCAGUUUAGGUCUCAGAAGUCUGGGAAUGAAGCCUAAUCUUCCAGGACUGGAAAGCGGUGAAUGGAGAGGACAGACCGUGGAUCUUCAUCCAGCAUCAACAGAAGGGAAGCAUCAUUUGGGCAGGAGAGUGUCUGGAGGUUGGUGGGAUCAUCUGUGCUCUCCUUUGGUCACAGAAAGAUGGAGAAACGCCAUUAAGCUGAUUUGUUCAGGCAGCCACAUGCAAGAUGGAAACCCAGAAAAAACAAGGAAAUGAGAAGUUGCCAUUCUUAACAGU
RNAcentral lists this long non-coding RNA (733 nucleotides) under Struthio camelus australis. Its description in RNAcentral is "lncRNA (ENSSCUG00000008648.1)". Lineage: Eukaryota; Metazoa; Chordata; Aves; Struthioniformes; Struthionidae. The record is from RNAcentral.